Molecule: ribosomal RNA, 252 nt
Filed under: uncultured bacterium
Lineage: Bacteria
Description: partial 16S ribosomal RNA
Rfam family: Bacterial small subunit ribosomal RNA
Source: RNAcentral
UACGUAGGGGGCUAGCGUUAUCCGGAAUUACUGGGCGUAAAGGGUGCGUAGGUGGUUUCUUAAGUCAGAGGUGAAAGGCUACGGCUCAACCGUAGUAAGCCUUUGAAACUGGGAAACUUGAGUGCAGGAGAGGAGAGUGGAAUUCCUAGUGUAGCGGUGAAAUGCGUAGAUAUUAGGAGGAACACCAGUUGCGAAGGCGGCUCUCUGGACUGUAACUGACACUGAGGCACGAGAGCGUGGGGAGCAAACAGG